GGAUAAGCUACUAAGGGCUAACGGCGGAUGCCUUGGCAUCGGAAGGCGAAGAAGGACGUGGCAAGCUGCGAUAAGCUUCGGGGAGCUGUUAACGAGCAUUGAUCCGGAGAUUUCCGAAUGGGGAAACCCGGCGGGAUUUAUAUCCCGUCAUUCAUUACUGAAUACAUAGGUAAUGGAAGCGAACGCAGGGAACUGAAACAUCUAAGUACCUGCAGGAAAAGAAAUCAUUAGAGAUUCCGUGAGUAGCGGCGAGCGAAAGCGGAAGAGCCCAAACCGGAUAAUUUAUUAUCCGGGGUUGUAGGACCCCGACGUGGGAUUGUAUCUGGAUAGUAGAAUGGUAUGGAAAGGCCGACCAUAGACGGUGAUAGUCCGGUAUACGAAAUUCUGAUACACCCUAGGGAGUUCCUGAGUACCACGAGACACGUGAAACCUUGUGGGAAUCUGGGAGGACCAUCUUCCAAGGCUAAAUACUAACCGAUGACCGAUAGUGAACGAGUACCGUGAGGGAAAGGUGAAAAGAACGGGGGAACCCGAGUGAAAUAGAAACUGAAACCGUUAGCUUACAAGCAGUUGGAGCACUAUGUAGCAAUACAGUGUGACAGCGUGCCUUUUGCAUAAUGAGUCAACGACUUACCCUAUGCAGCAAGGUUAAGCCGUAAGGUGGAGCCGCAGCGAAAGCGAGUCUUAAUAGGGCGCAUGAGUUGCAUGGGGUAGACCCGAAACCGGGUGAUCUAUCCAUGGCCAGGGUGAAGUCUCGGUAACACGAGAUGGAGGCCCGAACCGAUAUAGGUUGAAAACUGUUCGGAUGAGCUGUGGAUAGGAGUGAAAGGCUAAUCAAACUCGGUGAUAGCUGGUUUUCUCCGAAAUAUAUUUAGGUAUAGCCUCACAUGAUGACUGACGGAGGUAGAGCACUGACAAGGCUAGGGGUCCCACCGGAUUACCAACCCUUCUCAAACUCCGAAUGCCGUCAAGUUCAAGUGUGGGAGUCAGACUGUGGGAGAUAAGUUCCAUGGUCAAAAGGGAAAGAGCCCAGACCGUCAGCUAAGGUCCCUAAACUAUGCUAAGUGGGAAAGGAUGUGGAAUUGUGGAUACAACCAGGAGGUUGGCUUAGAAGCAGCAAUCCUUUAAAGAAAGCGUAAUAGCUCACUGGUCUAAUGAAUCUGCGCCGAAAAUUUAACGGGGCUAAGCAUAGUACCGAAGCUACGGAUCGAAAUUUAUUUCGAUGGUAGGAGAAUAUUGUGGUCGCCUGAGAAGGUACACCGUAAGGAGUGCUGGAGGUCCCACAAGAGCUUAUGUUGACACGAGUAGCGAAAAACAAGGUGAGAAACCUUGUCGCCGAAAGCCUCAGGUUUCCUGUAGUCAAGUUAAUCUGCUCAGGGUUAGUCGGCCCCUAAGGCGAGGCCGAGAGGCGUAGUCGAUGGGAAACAGGUUAAUAUUCCUGUACCACCGGUAUGAUGUUAUGGUAAGGGGGGACGGAGAAGGUAAGGCCAUCCGGGCGUUGGUAGUCCCGGUUUAAGCGUGUAGGUGGAGGACUUAGGCAAAUCCGGGUCCUUGUUAACACUGAGGCGUGAUGACGAUGUCUUUCAGACAGCAAAGUGGCUGGUUCCAUGCUUCCAGGAAAAUCCUCGUAUCUAGUCAUACAGGUGACCGUACCGUAAACCGACACAGGUAGGCAGGUAGAAGAUACCAAGGCGCUUGAGAGAACUCUGGUUAAGGAACUCGGCAAAAUAGCACCGUAACUUCGGGAGAAGGUGUGCCUGGAUGGUAAGUAAAUUUACUUUACGAGCCUGGUCAGGUUGCAAUGAAAUGGGGGGAGCGACUGUUUACUAAAAACACAGGACUCUGCGAAGUCGAAAGACGAAGUAUAGGGUCUGACGCCUGCCCGGUGCCGGAAGGUUAAGGGGACAUGUCAGCGCAAGCGAAGCAUCGAACCGAAGCCCCGGUAAACGGCGGCCGUAACUAUAACGGUCCUAAGGUAGCGAAAUUCCUUGUCGGGUAAGUUCCGACCUGCACGAAUGGCGUAACGAUUUCCCCACUGUCUCAACCAGAGACUCAGCGAAACUGUAACACCGGUGAAGAUGCCGGUUACCCGCAACUAGACAGAAAGACCCCGUGAACCUUUACUAUAGCUUGGCAUUGUUUUUUGGGAUAACAUGUGUAGGAUAGGUGGGAGACUUUGAAGCGGCUACGCUAGUAGUCGUGGAGUCACCCUUGAAAUACCACCCUUGUUAUCUUAGAAAUCUAACUGCGGUCCGUGAUCCGGAUCCAGGACAUUGUCUGGUGGGUAGUUUGACUGGGGCGGUCGCCUCCCAAAGAGUAACGGAGGCGCGCGAUGGUUCCCUCAGGCUGAUUGGAAACCAGCCGUAGAGUGUAAAGGCAUAAGGGAGCUUGACUGCGAGAGAGACAUUUCGAGCAGGUACGAAAGUAGGUCUUAGUGAUCCGGCGAUUCCGCAUGGAAGGGUCGUCGCUCAACGGAUAAAAGGUACUCCGGGGAUAACAGGCUUAUCUCCCCCAAGAGUCCAUAUCGACGGGGAGGUUUGGCACCUCGAUGUCGGCUCAUCACAUCCUGGGGCUGAAGCAGGUCCCAAGGGUUUGGCUGUUCGCCAAUUAAAGUGGUACGUGAGCUGGGUUUAAAACGUCGUGAGACAGUUUGGUCCUUAUCUGUUGCGGGCGCAGGAUAUUUGAGGAGAUCUUUUCCUAGUACGAGAGGACCGGAAUGGACGAACCUAUGGUGUACCAGUUGUUCUGCCAAGGGCAUCGCUGGGUAGCUAAGUUCGGAAGGGAUAACCGCUGAAAGCAUCUAAGCGGGAAGCCUACUCCAAGAUAAGAUAUCCCGUGACGUAAGUCACCUAAAGGCUCGUUGUAGACUACAACGUUGAUAGGUCGGGUGUGGAAGUGUAGCAAUACAUGGAGCUUACCGAUACUAAUAAGCCGUGCGGCUUAUCCAU
Molecule: ribosomal RNA, 2948 nt
Filed under: Desulfocapsaceae bacterium
Lineage: Bacteria; Pseudomonadati; Thermodesulfobacteriota; Desulfobulbia; Desulfobulbales; Desulfocapsaceae
Description: 23S ribosomal RNA
Rfam family: Bacterial large subunit ribosomal RNA
Source: RNAcentral